CAACAGGGAUUGCCCUAGUAACGGCGAGUGAAGCGGCAACAGCUCAAAUUUGAAAUCUGGCUCUCGGGCCCGAGUUGUAAUUUGUAGAGGAUGAUUUUGAUGCGGUGCCUUCCGAGUUCCCUGGAACGGGACGCCAUAGAGGGUGAGAGCCCCGUCUGGUUGGAUGCCAAAUCUCUGUAAAUCUCCUUCGACGAGUCGAGUAGUUUGGGAAUGCUGCUCUAAAUGGGAGGUAUAUGUCUUCUAAAGCUAAAUACCGGCCAGAGACCGAUAGCGCACAAGUAGAGUGAUCGAAAGAUGAAAAGCACUUUGAAAAGAGAGUUAAAAAGUACGUGAAAUUGUUGAAAGGGAAGCGUUUAUGACCAGACUUGGGCUUGGUUAAUCAUCUGGGGUUCUCUCCAGUGCACUUUUCCAGUCCAGGCCAGCAUCAGUUUUCGCCGGGGGAUAAAGGCUUCGGGAAUGUGGCUCCCCUCGGGGAGUGUUAU
This 482-nucleotide ribosomal RNA is filed under the name Fusarium graminearum. Its description in RNAcentral is "eukaryotic LSU rRNA". It matches the Rfam family "Eukaryotic large subunit ribosomal RNA", at positions 66 to 559 of the family's 3401-position model. Lineage: Eukaryota; Fungi; Ascomycota; Sordariomycetes; Hypocreales; Nectriaceae. The record is from RNAcentral.